Molecule: ribosomal RNA, 680 nt
Filed under: Pseudomonas sp.
Lineage: Bacteria; Pseudomonadati; Pseudomonadota; Gammaproteobacteria; Pseudomonadales; Pseudomonadaceae
Description: bacterial SSU rRNA
Rfam family: Bacterial small subunit ribosomal RNA
Source: RNAcentral
AGUCGAGCGGUAGAGAGAAGCUUGCUUCUCUUGAGAGCGGCGGACGGGUGAGUAAUGCCUAGGAAUCUGCCUGGUAGUGGGGGAUAACGUUCGGAAACGGACGCUAAUACCGCAUACGUCCUACGGGAGAAAGCAGGGGACCUUCGGGCCUUGCGCUAUCAGAUGAGCCUAGGUCGGAUUAGCUAGUUGGUGGGGUAAUGGCUCACCAAGGCGACGAUCCGUAACUGGUCUGAGAGGAUGAUCAGUCACACUGGAACUGAGACACGGUCCAGACUCCUACGGGAGGCAGCAGUGGGGAAUAUUGGACAAUGGGCGAAAGCCUGAUCCAGCCAUGCCGCGUGUGUGAAGAAGGUCUUCGGAUUGUAAAGCACUUUAAGUUGGGAGGAAGGGUUGUAGAUUAAUACUCUGCAAUUUUGACGUUACCGACAGAAUAAGCACCGGCUAACUCUGUGCCAGCAGCCGCGGUAAUACAGAGGGUGCAAGCGUUAAUCGGAAUUACUGGGCGUAAAGCGCGCGUAGGUGGUUUGUUAAGUUGGAUGUGAAAUCCCCGGGCUCAACCUGGGAACUGCAUUCAAAACUGACUGACUAGAGUAUGGUAGAGGGUGGUGGAAUUUCCUGUGUAGCGGUGAAAUGCGUAGAUAUAGGAAGGAACACCAGUGGCGAAGGCGACCACCUGGACU